Molecule: ribosomal RNA, 209 nt
Filed under: uncultured prokaryote
Description: partial 16S ribosomal RNA
Source: RNAcentral
UAUCUGACUUUUUGUUAACGUAUUUAGCCACAUAGAAACCAACAGCCAUAUAACUGGUAGCUUUAAGCGGCUCACCUUUAGCAUCAACAGGCCACAACCAACCAGAACGUGAAAAAGCGUCCUGCGUGUAGCGAACUGCGAUGGGCAUACUGUAACCAUAAGGCCACGUAUUUUGCAAGCUAUUUAACUGGCGGCGAUUGCGUACCCGA